Molecule: microRNA precursor, 67 nt
Filed under: Drosophila mojavensis
Lineage: Eukaryota; Metazoa; Arthropoda; Insecta; Diptera; Drosophilidae
Description: Dmo-Mir-22-P2_pre stem-loop
Rfam family: mir-980 microRNA precursor family
Source: RNAcentral
AGUCCCUCAUUUGGUGCGCUUAGCUGUUUUUCAAUUUGAUAUUGCUAGCUGCCUUGUGAAGGGCUUA